RNAcentral lists this unclassified non-coding RNA (146 nucleotides) under uncultured fungus. RNAcentral describes it as "sequence contains ITS1, 5.8S rRNA gene". The record is from RNAcentral. Lineage: Eukaryota; Fungi.
UCGUAGGGCUUCUGCCCUGUCGAGAUAGCGUCCUUGCCUAUUUUUUGGAGUACCUUUUCGUUUCCUCAGCAGGCUUGCCUGCUACUGGGGACCCUUUAAACUCUUUGUAAAUACAGCAUCUGUCUGAAAAAACAAACAAAAAAUCA